CCCCAUUUCAACAUCAGACUAGCACGCUCUGUCUUCCUUUAAGACCACAGAUCCUGUCUUGAAGAGGAGCAGAACGUGUUCAUCGACGUGGAC
Bison bison bison is the source of this 93-nucleotide microRNA precursor. The record is from Ensembl. Lineage: Eukaryota; Metazoa; Chordata; Mammalia; Artiodactyla; Bovidae.